CAUUGUUUGGAUAACCAUAAAAAAAUGUGUUCACUUUUUAGGGGUGAGAUGCUAAACCCUUCCACCAUCUACAUCCAAAUUCUGAACUCGCAUUCCCGCGUUUUUGUUUAAACUUUCACUCUCGUCAAAACCUAAUUCCACACACAAAAAUCUCUUUCACAAAAUCAUCAUCUUCUUCUUCGUCACUUCACUCUCGAAAUUCAGUGAAAGCGAUAGAGAGAGAGAGAUUUGAUUCGAAGAAGAAGAAAAUGUCGAAGCCGAAAUCAUUUCAAGGCAUAAACGUGUUCAUGUCGCGUAACCUUGUUCCGCCUGAAGUCUUCGCUACGCUUCACGAUGCCGUAAAAGAUAACGGUGCUCAAAUUCACCUCUGUUGUGAUCCCUCUCGUAAUGGUCCUAAUGAUUAUCACAUAAUUUCGUGUAGUAAACAUGAGAAAUUUGAAGAUCUUAAAUCUAAGGGAUGUAAAAUGCUUGGUCCUAGAUGUGUUCUUCAGUGUGCUAAAGAAGGAAGACCUCUGCCUAAACAAGGCUUCACAUGUUGCUUUACUAUGGAUGGUGUCAAAAUCCUCGCUUCUGGCUUUGAAAUGGAGGAGAGGGUUAAGAUAGAAGAAUUAGUGACUGAAAUGGGGGGAGCUCUACAUAAACCGACGUCAGAUUUGAACUUUGUCAUCGUGAAAAAUGUUUUGGCUCAAAAGUACAAGUGGGCUUUGAAUGUCCUGAAGAAACCAAUAGUUACUUAUGAAUGGUUAAAGCAAUGCUCGGAUGAGCAUCGUGUUGUACCUCAAGAGUCAUAUAAGGUUCUUCCUUUCUCUGGGUUAAGGAUCUGUGUGACUGGAUUCCCAGCAGAUAAGCGGAAAGAGAUGGAAAAGAUUAUUUUACAAAAUGGUGGAAAAUACUUUGCAGAAUUGACAAAGAAGUGCACACAUUUGAUUUCUGAUAUUCCUGAAGGUGAUAAGUAUAAGGUGGCAAAACGUUGGGGCCACAUUCAUAUUGUCACAAUGAAAUGGUUUGAUCAAUCUGUUGCUCGAAGAGCAUGUUUGAAUGAGGAGUCCUACCCUGUUCAGAGUGGAUCUUUGUCUUCGCGUAAGGUGACUAGGGACUUAACAGCGCAACAUAGCCAGGAAAAGGAUAUUGGGAAAAUGCAAUCUGGCUCAUCCUCAAGAGCUGCAGAUUCAAAUAUGCUAGUUUCUGAUUGUACCGAGUCUAUGGAUAUAGAUCCAGAAGCUACACAGUCAGAACAUAUGUCGUCUGUUUCAAAUGUUCCAUUAUUUGUUAAAGAGGCAGAUGCUGAAGCAUGUCCAUUACAGACCAGCAAUCAAUUGAACUUAGAUGGUGCUGUUGCCAAUGAUUCUGAAUCUGACGACAAUGACCUGUACUUAGCAGAGUGCAGAAUAUCACUUGUUGGUUUUGAAGCUUCUGAAAUGCGUAAGCUAGUUAAUAUGGUGCGUAAAGGUGGAGGCUCCCGAUACAUGUCUUUAAAUGAUAAGUUGACCCACAUAGUAAUUGGGAAUCCUACAGAAAUGGAAAAGAAGGAUGUAAGGAGUAUUGCUGCACAAAGUGUCAUUUUUGUUGUUAAAACCUCAUGGCUGGAAGAUUGUGACCGUCAAAAGAGACAAGUCCCUGUUCUAGGACGUCACACUGCUAAUGAUCUUGUUCUUCCAAAAGUAAAAGGAGCAGUUACUGGCAUUGUGCCUAUGGAUCAAAGUAAAAGCUCAAGCUUUCGCCAAAGCUUCCAAACUGAUAAGGUGGUGGGUAUUAAGGAAUUUGGAGUAAUAAUGGCAGAAUCUUUGGAGAAAAACAAACAAGAGAAACACGAUAUGGGUAUGAAUGUUGUGACAUUCGAUAAAGCAUCGGGUAGAACUACGCCACAAACUCAACUUCCUGAUAAAAAAUUGAGGGGACAAAAGAUGACACAACGUGAUUCUAAUGUACAUGUGAAGUCAACAAAUGUUUUCAAAGGGAAAACAUUUUGUUUCUCAAAUUUAUUUCCUGAAGAAAGGAGAGCUGAGAUUGUUCAGUGGAUAAGUCAAGGGGGAGGAGAGAUAAUAAGUGGGCAAACAAAACAAAGUAUCCACUAUACUAUUGAAUGCCAUGGUAAACCCAAGUCGACAGGUGAUUAUGGAAGUACUUAUAUUUCCAGUCACUGGAUACGAUCUUGUUUGGAGGAUGGAUCCUUGCUGGAUGUUGACAGUCAUAUUCUUUAUUCUCCACUUCCCUGCCGCGUUCCCUUGCCUGGUUUUGAAAAUCUCCGGUUUUGUGUUUCACAAUAUGAGGAGAAAGACAGAAUUCUACUUUGGAACUUGUGUAAAGUUCUAGGAGCUAAAUUUGCAGAUAAGUUGACUAAGAAGGUCACCCAUUUAUUGUGUAAAUUUACCAAUGGGCCCAAGUAUGAGGCUUCUUGUAAGUGGGGGAUCCGAUCAGUUACAUCUGAGUGGAUAUUUGAAUGUGUCAAACAGAAUGGAGUUAUUGCCAUGGAUCAAUUUUUGCCCAAAGAAGUCACUACUCAAGACCGAGAGGCAGGAGCUUGCACAGUGAGUCAAUUUCCUACCCAGGCUGUUCAAAUGAUAAAUGACAUGCCGUCCCAGUUUCCAAGUCAAUCACAAAGUUCGAGACACACGGCAAAUAAAAAUGUUGACAAUCAUAGGACUCAUUCUAAAAUAUCAAGCAUUAAUAGCAAAAAGGCAAGGCUCAUGGAAGAACCUAGCCUGUAUAAUAAGGCACCUUCUACAGUAAAUUCAGGUAUUCAUGUCUCUGACAUGAAUUUUUCUAAAGCCAAUAUGCUCAAGGAUGCUCCGGAGGCUGUUGAAAUGAUAAAUGACACACCGCCCCAGUUUCCAAGUCAAUUACAAAGCAUGAGAAACAUGGCAGAUAAAAAUGUGGAUAGUGGCGAUGCCAAUCACGGGACUCAUUCUAAAAUAUCAAGCAUUAAUAGCAUAAAGUCUAGGCUGGUGGAAGAACCUGGCAUGUAUAAUAAGGCACCUUCUACAGUAAAUUUAGGUAUUCAUGUCUCUGACUUGAAUAUUUCUGAAGACAAUAUGCUCAAAGAUGACCGGGAGGCAACCCAUGCAGUUCCCGAUGUUGCUGCUGCAAUUGAGGACUUGUUAGAGCAGACAAGCAAGAUGCAUGAUCAGAGAUCCCCAGGGCAUACAGGGUGUGAGAGAAGUAUUUACACAUCUGAUUGUCCAGUCAUUGGUGAAGACAAUCCAAAUCCUCGUACUGUCUUUGGAUUAUCGAAGCAUUGGUUAAACAGAAUUGGAAGCAAUGAUGAUAAUGGUGAGACUUCUAAAGAACGAAAAGUGGGAAUGUAUGAUGCUUUUAGUGAAAGCCAAACAGAAUCUCAGAUCGUUGGUUAUGAAGAAGAUUUGUCUGGAAGGCAAAUGCUUAUAGAUAGAGUUCUAACUCGAAGUAGCAUGCAGUGAAAUACAACCCUAUAUGAAAGACAGUAGAACAGUUUCCGUAUUUGAUAGUUCAAUGGCGUAUCUGAACUUACAAGUCAAUGCACAAGAAUGUGUCUUGUCUUUCAUGACCAGCAUAUGAUACAAUUAGACAGAAAGUUAAGUAGCAGGGGUGUUCAUAUCGAUUCUUUGUAACUAGCAAAUGAAAAUAAGUCUCAGCCAAGUUUAAACUCAAUCACGUCUACCGUGUACAAUUUUAGCAGACUGUCAAGUAAAUUGCAGAGUAGCUCGCUUUGUUAUUUUAGUGGGAGGGGCGGAAGAAAAGGGGAUUUCCAUGAGUUUGAAGGAACAAUUCUGAUUGGAUAAGCAGGAUGCUUUUGGGAAAUUUGAAAUCAUGAUAUUUGUGCUGAUACAUGCAAUUGCUUCUCAGCAAUAGUCAGUGUUCUAGACUAUCGAAUGCUUCAGUGUUUAGGUAGAAGCCCAGAAAUAGUGUGUCCCAGAGCGGAUCUUGAGAUUUUCAACGUAAUGUACUAUUUUGUUUAGCUUUGACCUCUAAGAUAUGUUGGCCUUAUGUUGUGCUUAAUGCAUGGAAUGUUUACUGGUAAAAGAUCCCAGCGAAUGAAUAAAAAUAUCAAAUUCUGAACAGAAUACGAGAGUAACCGACAGGAAUAUUGCAAGA
Molecule: RNA transcript, 4071 nt
Organism: Medicago truncatula (barrel medic)
Lineage: Eukaryota; Viridiplantae; Streptophyta; Magnoliopsida; Fabales; Fabaceae
Gene name: DNA topoisomerase 2-binding protein 1
Exons: 18
Source: RefSeq, a predicted model, not a curated record